CGGAAGGUGUGCUCCCACUCCUCGGUGACGUCCAGGAGCGCGCGGUCGCCGAAGAACCGGCCGUCCGCGAGAACGUCGAUCCGGGAGUCGGCGUCGUACUCCCCCGGCCCGGCCUGCUCGACCUUGCCGUGCGCGAUGAGGUGGACCGCGUCCAUGGGACGUCCCGCGACCGCGAUCGCCUCGCCGGGGACGUACUCGCGCUGCGCGAACCGGGCGGCGAGGGCGUCCAGGACCGCGGGGUCGGGCAGGCCGCGCAGCGGCGGCAGCUCGGCGAGCUCGGGCGGGACGACCCUGACCUCGGCGCCGUCGUUGACGAACGUCACCAGGCCGUCGCCGAGCCGGUAGGUGAGCCGGCGGUUCACCCGGUAGACGCCGGCGUCCGCCCGCACCCACGGCAGCAGCGCCAUCAGCCACCGCGGGGUGAUGCCCCGCAUCUGCGGGACGGACUUCGUCGUCGUCGCGAGGUUGCGCGCGGCCUGCGUGCUGAGG
This 489-nucleotide antisense RNA is filed under the name Actinomadura madurae. Its description in RNAcentral is "Saccharopolyspora sRNA 350". It matches the Rfam family "Saccharopolyspora sRNA 350". Lineage: Bacteria; Bacillati; Actinomycetota; Actinomycetes; Streptosporangiales; Thermomonosporaceae. The record is from Rfam by way of RNAcentral.